GACGAACGCUGGCGGCGUGCUUAACACAUGCAAGUCGAACGGAAAGGCCCUGCUUGCGGGGUACUCGCGUGGCGAACGGGUGAGUAACACGUGGGUGAUCUGCCCUGCACUUCGGGAUAAGACUGGGAAAAUGGGUCUAAUACCGGGGAGGGGCCAUCUUUCGUGUGGUGGGGGGAUAGAUUUUUUGGUGUGGGGGGAGCUCACGGGCUAUCAGCUUGUUGGUUGGGUAGUGGCCUACCAAGGCGGCGACUGGUAGCCGGCCUGGGGGGGUGGACGGCCACAAUGGGGCCUGGGUACGGGCCAGAAUUCUACGGGAGGCAGGAGGGGGGAAAAUUGGACAAAUGGGGGAAGCCUGAAGCAGCGACGCCGGGGUGGGGAUGACCGGCUUCGGGUUGUAAACUCCCUUCGCUAUGUACGAAGCUGUUUGUGACGGUACCGAGAUAAGAAGCACCGGCUAACUACGUG
This 465-nucleotide ribosomal RNA is filed under the name uncultured bacterium. RNAcentral describes it as "partial 16S ribosomal RNA". It matches the Rfam family "Bacterial small subunit ribosomal RNA", at positions 28 to 507 of the family's 1533-position model. The record is from RNAcentral.